UUUAGCCACACGUAUUCUCUACACUGUGAAGACACUCUACAGAAGAGAGUAUGAGUUGAUUCCUUGCAAAAGAGAAUUUAUGAUGGUUUGGCAGUAGAAGGAAAAGAAACAGAUGGUUGUCUUCAUCAGUACCACACGAAUAAUACUUUCCAGGAGAACUCUUGCAAUCCAACUCAGCCUCUGGAGUCUCUACUUUUCUAACAAGAGAAAAUUGAUAUCCAAC
Molecule: long non-coding RNA, 223 nt
Filed under: Fukomys damarensis (Damara mole-rat)
Lineage: Eukaryota; Metazoa; Chordata; Mammalia; Rodentia; Bathyergidae
Description: lncRNA (ENSFDAG00000027432.1)
Source: RNAcentral